This 241-nucleotide ribosomal RNA is filed under the name uncultured bacterium. RNAcentral's name for it is "partial 16S ribosomal RNA". It matches the Rfam family "Bacterial small subunit ribosomal RNA", at positions 85 to 334 of the family's 1533-position model. The record is from RNAcentral.
AAUGAGUAAAGUGGCGUACGGGUGAGUAACACGUGGAUAAUCUACCUCUGGGUGGGGAAUAACUCUGGGAAACCGGAGCUAAUACCGCAUAAACCUGAGAAGGCAAAGCUUCCGUAAGGGGGCGCCGGGAGAGGAGUCCGCGGCCGAUUAGCUAGUUGGUAGGGUAAUGGCCUACCAAGGCGAUGAUCGGUAGCCGGCCUGAGAGGGCACACGGCCACACUGGCACUGAAACACGGGCCAG